GCGCUCCAUAGAUGCUGGGUUACUUGUUGUUCCUAUGGUUUUAAAAAGUAGGCUGGGGGCCAGAGCCUUCAGUCAUCAAGCUCCUCUUUUAUGGAACCAGCUUCCACUUUCAGUCCGGGGGGCAGAUUAGGUCAGCUCUUUUAAAGUAAAACUUAAAACUUUCCUCUUUGAUUCUGCCUAUAGUUAGGGCUGGCUCAGGUUAGCCCGGACCAGCCCUUAGUUAAGCCUAUUGCUAUAUUGCUAUAGGCUUAGACUGCCCGGGGACUUCUUAGGACACACGGAGCUCCUCUCUCUCUCUUUCUCUCCCUCUUUAUGUUAAUUCACAUUUCAUUAAUAAUUCACAUCUCAAUGCACAUCCUUAUUUCUCUUCUUUUAUCUUCCCCGAGUAUUUGUGCUUCACCUACUCACAGGUUUCUAUGGAUGGUGUUUUUUGCUGCAGUGGCCCUUGAAGGUUCCAUCCUGGCAGAAAGGACACAAACCGUCCCAGUGAAGAGGACGCCAGUGGACGGGAAAUGUGCUGUCUUCCUACAGAACCCCGUUCCCCACGCAGCGAGCGGCCGGCCGGCGGCGAUCCGCAGACGUAAUGCGACAUA
Long non-coding RNA from Gasterosteus aculeatus aculeatus (three-spined stickleback), 593 nucleotides. Lineage: Eukaryota; Metazoa; Chordata; Actinopteri; Perciformes; Gasterosteidae. The record is from Ensembl.